Long non-coding RNA from Periophthalmus magnuspinnatus, 3243 nucleotides. RefSeq lists it as uncharacterized. The record is from RefSeq and is a predicted model, not a curated record. The transcript is spliced from 3 exons. Lineage: Eukaryota; Metazoa; Chordata; Actinopteri; Gobiiformes; Gobiidae.
ACUUGACUCCGUCCAAUAAAACAACAGAAGAAAAGUGCGUCCCAGUUCCAGUUCCUCUCCAGACCUACACCUUUUCUAACCUUCUCCGCAGCGAAAGGAGCCCAUUCCCCACUCAAGCAUUUGAACAGGGAUUCAAAGCAAACACUUAGUUAAUUCUCAGGAGGUACAGCAAGAUGGUGACAUCGAGGUGACCAUGGCAGUUAUUUAACCCCAACUGGUGCAAUGUUGCUUCUAAUUUCUUAAACAACCAUGUCGAAAGACGCAUCCUGUGGUCGUGGAAAAGAUGUUAGUGUGUUUGAGAAGGGUCAAAUCAUUGGCUUGCAUCAAGCAGAGAAAACAUCUAAGGAGAUUGCAGAAACUACUAAAAUUGGUUUAAGAACUGUCCAACGCAUUAUUAAAAACUGGAAAGAUAGUGGGGACCCAUCGGCUUCGAGGAAGAAAUGUGGCCGUAAAAAAAUCCUGAAUGAUCGUGAUCGGCGAUCACUUAAACGUUUGGUGAAAUCAAAUCGAAGAAAAACAACAGUAGAACUCAGGGCUAUGUUUAAUAGUGAAAGUAAGAGCAUUUCCACACGCACAAUGCGACGGGAACUCAAGGGAUUGGGACUGAACAGCUGUGUAGCCUUAAGAAAACCACUAAUCAGUCAGCCUAACCGGAAAAAAAGGCUUCAAUUUGCUAGGGAGCAUAAAGAUUGGACUCUGGAGCAAUGGAAGAACUGCAUGCGGUCUGAUGAGUCCGUCAAUCUGGAACAGGGUCAAUCUGGACCCAUCACUGUAAGAAGAGAGGCAGAUGAAGUGAUGGACCCAUCACGCCUAGUGCCUACUGUACAAGCCUGCGAGGGCAGUGCAUCUGGGGUUGCUGCAGUUGGUCAGGUCUAGGUUCAGCAACAGUCUGCUCAUGAGGUCAGCUGACUGCCUGAAUAUACUGAAUAACCAGGUUAUUCCAUCAAUGGAUUUUUCUCCUUCCCUGAUGACACGGGCAUAUUCCAAGAUGACAAUGCCAGGAUUCUUCAGGCUCAAACUGAAAGGGAGCAUGAGCCAUCAUUUUCACACAUAGAUUGGCCACCACAGAGUUUAGACCUUAACAACAUUGAGAAUCUUUGGGAUGUGCUGGAGAAGGCUUUGUGCAGCGGUCAGACUCUACCAUCAUCAAUGCAAGAUCUUGGUGAAAAAUGUAUGCAACGCUGGAUGGAAAUAAAUCUUGUGACUUGCGGAAGCUUAAUGAAACAAUGCCACAGUGAAUGUGUGCUGUAAUCAAAGCUAAAGGCAGAACAACCAAAUAUUAGAGUGUGACCUUUUUUUUGGUGGUGACUUUUUUUUUUUUUUUUUUUGGCCAGGCAGUGUAAUUCUGGAAGGUGAAUUGGUCACGACUAAUCUCCAGUCUCCUAUUGGAGGGUUUGUCAUGCUCUUUGGACUGGUCUAUGCCCUUAAUAUGUUAAUAUGAGGUAUCCUAAAAAGUGCAAACACAGUUUGAGUUUUUUUGUUUGUUUUUUUUAUAAAGUGCUUCUGGGACUGGAUGGGAAAAGAAUGAGUACAAAAGUGUACAAACUCAGCAUCUUGCUACAUAGCAAGUAGUUCAUUCAUCUGCUUUCAUACCGUUACAUUUUAUAGUUUUGUAGUUUAACUGUUAAACUGUUUUCAAAGUUACAUCAGACAAAAUGUGAAUGUUAUUUGUUUUGAUGGUUUGUAAAGCUCCUGCACCCAUUAUCUUUGUUGUGGCUUCCAGGAUGGCAGGGAAGAAACAGUGGUAACUAACGACAAUGAGUCUGAAAUUUUGAUUUUAUUUGCAAUUAAAAGAAGAUGUAAAUAACAAUACUGGCCUGUGUGAUUUUAAAUGUAUUAAUACGUAAAGGGUCACUGCUGUUUGAACCUCUUUAUUAAACCAUAAAUGAAGCAAAGACUGUUUUGAAAAGCAUUUGAGAUUUUAAAGAUUUUACAUCGUCAUGAGAUGGUUAAAUUGUUCCCAGAUAAAAGGAAUGCCAGUGCAUUCAGCUUUAAUGUAAGGCUUGACUCUACUCACUAGUAGACUUGACUCACCAGUCCAUUUACCUCUACAAAUCCACUUCUUUCAUCAAUAUAGAGCUUUGUCAAACCUGCAAAAUGCUGUUUUUGAUCAUUUCAAAAAUUUAUAAAACUGAAAUUUCGAGAAAUGUGUUUCAUUCUUUUCAAUGCAGAUUCACAGCUUCCCUGCCAUGGCUGAGUCAUGGAGUUCUAUACUGAAAUAAUACCGUUUUUUUUUGUUUUUUUUUGAGCAGGUCUCAGAGACCCAUAGCUUUCAUUUUAUACGUUGAACAUUUUGUGCAUGCACUGUUAAUAAAAAGUAAAUACAUAACACAUUCAUAAUUUUGCCAAGAAUGUAGGACAAUAUUGAGGGUUGAAAUGUGUUAGUUUAAAAUUUGCUCAAUUAACACUGAACAUUAACAUAAUUUUCAUCUUGAAGCAAUGCUUGCUUAGAAUGAGAAUGUAAUGGAUAACAUGAACAACUAAGACUUUUUAGAUGUAAAUGAUUACGAUAUAAAUUGUAAGUUGAACCAAUGAACCUCAUUAAUCCAAUAAUUGUACAUUAAUUUUAUUUAGAAUAGCAAAAGACGAAAUCUGAACUAGAGUGAAGACGUUUCGCUGCUCAUCCAAGCCGCUUCUUCAGUUCUGUCAGAUUACUGGUGGACACUGCCUUAUAUCCAUCUGAAGGGAGGGGCUAACUACACUGAAACUGUAAACAUCUAUUGUCUCCAGUUUCAGCUGAAACUACCCCUUUACACAAACAUCUUAAUUUAGAUUUUUUUUUCCAAUUACAAAUAUGAUCAUUUAAAUUGGCCAAUUAUGCAAAUUCAUUUUUUUUAUUGACCCAAUUCAAUUUUAAACAUUCAACCAAUUUAUAAUGAAUUACCUGCUAUAUAUUAAACAAAUUUAGUCUGACCAAUUUAAUAUAUAUCAUUAUCAAGUAAGAAUAUUUAGAUGUGAAUGAUUAUGAUAUAAAUAAUAGGUUAAACCAGUUACUACUUCACUUAACCUAUUUCAGCCUUUGUUCCUGGAUGUGUUUACUUACUAUUAAAUAUGCUUACCAACAAAUAGCACAGAUAUUUUAUCAGCAAAUAUUUUCUUUAGAAAAUCUUGUAGCCCUACAAGAAUUAUGUGGUGUUGAGAAUGUAUGGUUCUGUAUCACAUUACGUUGUAACAGCCCUUUGUACAGUGUUCUUGACUUGUAGCUUAACUUUGUGGUGAAUAAAUAUAACACCGAACAUACAU